UGGGGAAUAUUGCACAAUGGGCGCAAGCCUGAUGCAGCCAUGCCGCGUGUAUGAAGAAGGCCUUCGGGUUGUAAAGCACUUUCAGCGGGGAGGAAGGUGGUAAGGUUAAUAACCUUAUCAAUUGACGUUACCGACAGAAGAAGCACCGGCUAACUCCGUGCCAGCAGCCGCGGUAAUACGGAGGGUGCAAGCGUUAAUCGGAAUUACUGGGCGUAAAGCGCACGCAGGCGGUUGAUUGAGUCAGAUGUGAAAUCCCCGGGCUUAACCCGGGAAUUGCAUCUGAUACUGGUCAGCUAGAGUCUUGUAGAGGGGGGUAGAAUUCCAGGUGUAGCGGUGAAAUGCGUAGAGAUCUGGAGGAAUACCGGUGGCGAAGGCGGCCCCCUGGACAAAGACUGACGCUCAGGUGCGAAAGCGUGGGGAGCAAACAGG
Molecule: ribosomal RNA, 429 nt
Filed under: Chloroflexota bacterium
Lineage: Bacteria; Bacillati; Chloroflexota
Description: Chloroflexi bacterium partial 16S ribosomal RNA
Rfam family: Bacterial small subunit ribosomal RNA
Source: RNAcentral